This 576-nucleotide unclassified non-coding RNA is filed under the name Hevea brasiliensis (rubber tree). The record is from RNAcentral. Lineage: Eukaryota; Viridiplantae; Streptophyta; Magnoliopsida; Malpighiales; Euphorbiaceae.
GUUCUCAGCCUACUAAACAGCAGGUAUGAUUGGAUUGGAGGGUAAAGAGUUCACAUUUUAAACUUUAAAAACAGAAAGUAGAGGGAGAAAAAGGCCAGUGAUGGCUUAGCACAAUGGUGAAGAAGUGGGAUUGGUUAGGUUUGGUUCCUGGAUUCAUUACUUGCCUUUCAUUGAAAACUGGGGGAAAAAUGAUGUAUUUUGCUGAGGUUGAUGCACAUAGAUAACUGAAGCAAUUGUUAAAAAAUGAUUUAGAUGCAUCAUUUUGAGUGAUGGUAAAACAUGGAAAUCGGGUAUAAAAUGUGGUAUUCAUUUAAUAUUAUUUUCUUGGGAUAAAAUUUCACUAGUCCAUUCUAUUAGUGGUAGAUGCUAAUUUCUCCUUGUGGAUGUGACAUGUUUAGAUGUUGGGACAUGGGUCAACUUCCACCUGGUAAAGACCUGCCUGCCAAUUUGUCACAUUAGGAGGUGCUGUUGCUAUAGCACCUUGCUUUUGGCCCCUCAUACUCUUAAUAUUAGGACUGGAGAUAGGAGGAGUUUGAGUGGUUAGCUCUGCUUUCCUGCAAAGUAGCUGGGAUGGAA